AUUUUUUUUUCUUCCACAGUGAUAGUUCUUUAUGAGGCAGACAGAGCACCAGAGAAUAUCCAGCACUUGAUCAAAUGGAUCAUGGACUGUUACACUGAUUGUUGUAAGCUAAUCCUCUGCUGUGACGAUGAUGUGGACGUGCUCGAAUCUGUCAGAAAUCGAUGCAAAGUUAUAAAUGUCAAUGCUCCCGCCACUCAUGAAGUACGUGCAGAAAAUAAAAUAAAAAUUGAAACAUGAUCAUUUUAGCUUGAUGAACACUCAAAACUGAAAAACCAUGAAUUUCUGGCAGAUCAUGGAGGUUCUUGUUCAUAUAGCGAAGAAAGAAGAGUUUGAUCUACCGAUGAAUUUCGCUGCUAAGAUUGCCACAAAAUCCAAGGACUUGAGAAGGGCAAUCAUGGCACUUGAAGCUUGCAGAGCACACAAGUAAGAGACUAUUAAAGGGUUAAACACAUUACAUCUUACACAUUCAUUCAACUAAAAAGAAAUGUUUUUUGCAGUUAUCCUUUUGCUAAUGAUCAGCCGAUUCCAAUCAGUUGGGAAGAGGUGUUGGUCGAAAUUGCCAACGAAAUCAUGGCUGAUCCAUCCCCUAAGAGGUCUGUAUAUUUCUUCAUUGUCAUGUGUAGACCAAUGAUGAAUGAAACUCGUCAAGUAAAAGAUGUGCAUACCUGUUUUGAACUAUUAUUUCGGCAGGCUGUUUCUGGUAAGAGGGAAGUUGCAGAAGCUUCUUGUGGAUUUUGUGCAUCCUCUACUUAUCCUUCAGGUAAACUACCACACACACGCACCCACCAUUGUUGCUGCUGUUUUUC
This 806-nucleotide long non-coding RNA is filed under the name Linum usitatissimum (flax). RNAcentral describes it as "long non-coding RNA (LUSI_LNC006011)". Lineage: Eukaryota; Viridiplantae; Streptophyta; Magnoliopsida; Malpighiales; Linaceae. The record is from RNAcentral.